Molecule: unclassified non-coding RNA, 425 nt
Filed under: Hevea brasiliensis (rubber tree)
Lineage: Eukaryota; Viridiplantae; Streptophyta; Magnoliopsida; Malpighiales; Euphorbiaceae
Source: RNAcentral
GAACAAUACCUGCAAAUGCAGAAAGAGAAGAAGGCAAGUAAUUACUGCAUAGUAGUUGUGAGCUAAUAUGAGAACCGAAAAAACCUUUAAACAAAUCUCAAAUAAAAUUAUAUAACCAGUGAUUCGACAAGAGAACAAUGCACCAAAUAGCAAGAUGCAUGAUGUCGCUACCACAAAACAACAGCAAUAAAGCACCAGACAACCCACAUUUCACAAUGAUCACCUCAAACAACAGAAACUUUAACAACAGCAAUAAAGCACCAGCAAUAAUAUCCACUAUUUGACUACAAAAAUAGGAAGGAAAGAUGUCAAGGGAAAACAGGACAAUUAUAAUGUCCUUCAGAAUGAAGUAAAAACAAUGUAAAUGAAAAGAAAUAUGUUAUGUAUCAGACCUGCACUUCAUCCAGAAACAGAGAAAGGAAGCU